RNAcentral lists this ribosomal RNA (361 nucleotides) under uncultured fungus. RNAcentral describes it as "eukaryotic LSU rRNA". It matches the Rfam family "Eukaryotic large subunit ribosomal RNA", at positions 40 to 398 of the family's 3401-position model. The record is from RNAcentral. Lineage: Eukaryota; Fungi.
AUAUCAAUAAGCGGAGGAAAAGAAACUAACAAGGAUUCCCUAGUAACUGCGAGUGAAGCGGAAAAGCUCAAAUUUAAAAUCUGGCAGUCUUACUGUCCGAGUUGUAAUCUAGAGAAGCAUUAUCCGCGUUGGACCGUGUACAAGUCUCCUGGAAUGGAGCGUCAUAGAGGGUGAGAAUCCGUCUUUGACACGGACUGCCAAGGCUUUUGUGAUGUGCUCUCAAAGAGUCGAGUUGUUUGGGAAUGCAGCUCAAAAUGGGUGGUAAAUUCCAUCUAAAGCUAAAUAUUGGCGAGAGACCGAUAGCGAACAAGUACCGUGAGGGAAAGAUGAAAAGAACUUUGGAAAGAGAGUUAAACAGUAC